CCAGGCGGUUUGGGGCAGUGGAGACAUUGUCCUUCAGUUAGGCUGGCCCCAGAACAGGUGCUGCAUGGCUGUCGUCAGCUCGUGUCGUGAGAUGUUGGGUUAAGUCCCGCAACGAGCGCAACCCUCGCCCUUAGUUGCCAGCAUUUAGUUGGGCACUCUAAGGGGACUGCCGGUGAUAAGCCGAGAGGAAGGUGGGGAUGACGUCAAGUCCUCAUGGCCCUUACGGGCUGGGCUACACACGUGCUACAAUGGUGGUGACAGUGGGCAGCGAGACAGCGAUGUCGAGCUAAUCUCCAAAAGCCAUCUCAGUUCGGAUUGCACUCUGCAACUCGAGUGCAUGAAGUUGGAAUCGCUAGUAAUCGCACAUCACCAUGCUGCGGUGAAUACGUUCUUACGAACUUGUACACACAUCGAA
Molecule: ribosomal RNA, 415 nt
Filed under: Agrobacterium tumefaciens
Lineage: Bacteria; Pseudomonadati; Pseudomonadota; Alphaproteobacteria; Hyphomicrobiales; Rhizobiaceae
Description: bacterial SSU rRNA
Rfam family: Bacterial small subunit ribosomal RNA
Source: RNAcentral